AGUGUUGAGAAAACAUGUGUUACAUAAAAAUGGGUGACUAGGGUUCAAGAAACUCAGGACUCUGGGCAGCUACCGGGCUUUGACACCUUCCUCAGCGGGGCCUCCCAGGAUUCCUAUGCAUUGAUUGGUUUCUGGCCAAAAGUCAUUUAUUGUUUCUCUGUCUUCAGGAUAACACAGCCUCAUUUCCAAUUCUCUGCCCCACACCACAACAAAGGCUUUGCUGCUUGAAGUCUUAAGGAGCCGGCAGUUAAUCCCUCCGAAGAAUACUUGUGAACACCCUACUAUUUGUAGUGAUCUUAACCACAGAUUUUGAGCAAGUCACUAUUUUUCUCUGCACUCUAUCUAGAAAAUAAAUAAAGGCGAGACAGGCACCGACCAGGCAGAAUAUCAUUCCUGGGGGUCUUAGCCACAGCCUGCCCGGUGCCCCAGCUGUACUUCGUCCUUAUUCUCCCACAGUGGUCUCCAAAAUGGUCUUCCCUCUCAUAGAGGCACACGCCACUGACCGGUAAGAGAAGGGCAAUGCUAAGACUCAGGUGUGACAAGUCACAAAGCAACUCCGCCUGAGAGAGCCAGUCUUCAGGACACCUAGUGACAAGGGUAAGGCCAUUGAUGGAGAGAAGAGAGAAGCCGAGUCCAUGAGAGCUCAUGAAAACAAGUUUGGAUACAAGAUGGAAUGCCUGAGGGUUUGUCCAGACUUGACACGUUUUAGCCUUGGGCAAACUUCCCUGUUCUAACUUGGGGACAGUCAGUCACUGUCUUGCCUGGUACACAGCAGAAAUCACUGGUGUGACAAUGCUAUUAAAGUCCUUUAACAUGGAGAUGUGCAAAGCUGUAGCCUCUCAGGGGGUUCCCAGGUUUUCCUUCAGGGCCGCUUCAUUAGCUAACCACAGUGCCCAGGGCCCCUGGUCUAGGCUUUCCAGUCACUUGUGCCCACUCUAUUUCAGGCUCCUUGGUGGCUGGCUGACUGCACACCGCUCCCCAGUCACACCCACACACCAGAGCUGUCACAUGCUCUCCAAAACACAACACAACCAUUUCCUCAGCCCUGGAGAUUGAAUGUGAGCUCAGAGCAGGUGCAGAGGAAGAGGGAAGAGGAAACGUGUGGGCGCGAGCAGCCUGCCCUGCUCUGCCCUGCCCUGCCCUGCCCUGCCCUGGCCAUCUCUCUCCAGGUCUCUUCUAGCUCAGAGCAACCGGCAUGUGAUAGCCUUCAGCCAGCAAGUAGGCCAAGCUGUCUGAGGGCAGCCUCAGGCUUCAGGUUAGAGUGGCUAACCCAGGUCAGUUUCAGCUAGGAUCAGUGUUGUCACUUCCUACUUAGAGAGAGCUCUUCCCAGUGGCCUGCACCUGCCAGGCAGCUAGUUGGGCUCUCCCAUUGGCUGGGAUAGCGGUGGAGUCCUGGGGAAGACGAGAGGAAGGAAAGGAGAGAGGGAAGCAAGGAGAGAGAUUUAUGAGUGAAUGUACAAAGUGUGAUGGUGGGUGUGAGAGUGUGGGUGUCAGUGCAUCAUGGACGUGUGAAGCCAGUGUCCUGUGCAAAUGAGCAGCAUGCCAUAUGUAAAUGGGCGUUGUGUGGUAUGUAGGCAUGCGAUGUGUGUUCUGUGGUACAUGAUGUGAGAUGUGAGUAGAUGAUGUGGCUGUAAGUGUGUAUUAUAUGUAGUUGGUAUGUAAUUUCUGCGUGCCCAUGAAGUUCUGGAAUUUCUGGAAGUUCUGCCAGUCAGGGCUGAAGCCGUGUGAAUGAGAGCAGAGCAUUUAACAUGUGUGGCCUGUGCAGCUUCCCUUUAAAAACCCGUAUGAGGGGAAAAGGAAGAGCUAGCAUGUGUUGGGGGUGGACGAUCCGCAGUGAUGACCUGCCUGCGUGAUAGGCUGGUAUGACAUCAGCGUAAAUACCGUGGGAGUAACCGACCGGUAUCUGACUGGAAUUAAGGCCCCUUUCAUGAGAGGGCACCUGCACCUGACACUGCUCUGGUGGCCGAGGACCCGAGACUAGAGUGAACAUGGGCCUGGGGAGAGACAAAUCCUGUCGUUCUCCUAAUGGAAUCCUGCAACUAAAUGACUCCUGACGACACUCUGCUGGACAUAUAGAGAUCGUGUUCAGCCUUCUCAGAGAAGCCUCUUCCUGCUGAUGAUGCCACCUAACACAGAGACCCACAGCUGUAUGAUGUACAGAGAGUGAGAGACCUCGGAACACUCAGUCCUGAAUGGGAUGGCUCCAUCAAUGCCCUCCCCUCAGGGUGCAGGGAGCUAGGCAGAAGGCGGAAAGAAUGUAAGAGACAGUAUCUUCCAGAUACACCAGGACUGAUUCUCAAAUGAACUCCCAGAGACUGUGGCAGCAUGUAUGAGGCCUGCACAUAUAUAAAACUAUAUAAAAUAAAAUAAAUCUUAAAGAAAAGAAUUACGAGUCUGCGCUCUGCCACGUAGGAAUGACUAGAGAGAUCCAAACUCUUAGGCCUGAAUCUGGUCAAAUGCAGGGCUGCCACUUCAGGCAUUCCCUCCCCCCCCAACUUGUGACUCACUGUCCUUUCCACAGGGACAUAUAAAUCAGUCAGCCAAUCAGUAGUAGUCAUUGGCCGAAUCUGUAGCUCAAUAGUCGAGUGAUUCCCUUGAAUGCAUGAAGUCAUGAGGUUCAAUCUCCAACACCACAAAGAGGCCACCAGUGCACUCUCACUGGGAUAAACAUCAACAGGCCCUUGAAUGCAGAAGAAUUUGGGAACUUGUGUAAGGCAGAGGUUGCAUAUUCUAACUCUCCUGAACUGCCUCCCACUUAGUUCAAGACUUUCCAGCAAGGAGAUACCAUGACUGAUGUGAACAUCGGUGAGUAUAUCAGAGAAUUAAGCUACUCUCUAAUCUACCAUCCCAUGCCACCCCAUCUUGCUUGCCUUUUGGAGGCUCUCACCUUUAUUGACAAAGACUUGCCAGACCUGGAUGGGCCAGCCUUCUUGAGGCAGGCCAGAGUCACUGGCUCCACACAGGUAGUGGCCUUCAUCUUCCUUCCUCAGGCCUGUGAUCAACACACUGAAAUGGCCAUUGUCGUUCUUGGGGGUUAGCAGGAUCCUGCCCUCAAAGGCUGAAUCCCUCUGCCCCUUGGUGUUGAUGACCACAUCACAGGUUUCCUUGUUCUUCCGGCACAGGUAUUUGGGCAAAUGUGCCACCUCACGGCCCAACGCACAGUCAAGAGUCACCGAGGAUCUCAGAUCGCUAUAAACCAGCUCUGGCUCAGGCUCUAGCACCUGGAGGUCAGUGUUCUUUAUAUCAGCAUUAGAAUCUUCCCCAGCCUGGCAGACAUACAGCCCAGCAUCACUGGGUCUUAGGUUAGUAAUGGUGACAGUGAAUUUUGACCCGCCGGUCCCGCCGGCCAUAGCAAGUUUUACUCUGCCCACAUAGUUGGGGUUCACAUUAUUACUAGAGUCAAUGACAAGUUCACAGGCCUGACCUAU
This is a non-coding RNA of Myodes glareolus (Bank vole), 3428 nucleotides long. Lineage: Eukaryota; Metazoa; Chordata; Mammalia; Rodentia; Cricetidae. The record is from RefSeq and is a predicted model, not a curated record.